UUUGCUCAUCAGAUGUCAAUGUCAAUGAACCCGAUCUGAGAACAUUACUGGCCACCCUGGUCUCAAAAGUCUGUGUGGAAGGGAUGCCCAGCAGUAAUAUGAUCAAUGUAUGCAGACCAAACGUGUUGGAUGGUGCUGUGCGGGCCUUCGCAAGGAGAGGUUUUACCCCAGAGGCCAAAUUAAGUGUCGUUUUCAUGGAUGACUACAACCAGGCAGAGGGCGCUGUGGAUGAGGGAGGGCCAAAAAGGGGGUUUUCCCGACUCCUCAUGUUAGCGCUUAAGGAAAGUGCCAAAAUAAUUUGUCGCUGGAUAGCCGUGUUUGGUAUUCUUCAUAUGUUCUCUUUGUUUAACUUGCUUUUUUAAUUAUAUUUAUGCCUUUGUUUUCAAUCGUAGAUUUAAUUUUAUAAUUUUCUAAUGCAAAAUACUUUACACACAGUAUGUCUUAUCUGAAAAAGUCUAUAUUUUUGCAUCAUUACAGCGAGGUCUGUAGGAGCAAGUUUAUGGAACAAUGAUUGCUGUGGCACUGACACAUGGAGGAUUGUUUCCUUUUUUUUUCAGAGAGACUUUAUCAAAACCUGUGCUCAUCAUCACCCACUCUUGAGGAAGGAGCAGAUGUGGAUUUGCUGUGCAAAUUAAAAAAGGAAUAACAUAAUUCUUAAUUAUUCAAUCCAAUCACAAAAUGCCUGAUUCUACUAAUGAACAGUCAACUAAUAAACUGACAGAUCAGUGAUGCAGGAGACAGUACAGCAGCUAGAGAUGCCAUUACGGAAGCUGUCCUCGUUGGGGUCCCAGGGGCAUAUCAGCACCAUGGAGGAACGGGACCAGCUAGUUCAGGCAGCCAUUACUUUAAUGUGGAAGGACAUACCAAAGAAGCCUAACAACAACUUACAGAAGGGUUACGCACACUUGGCCUUCUGGAGAUGAUGGAAAACCAUCCCAACAUCUUCAAGAAGGCAUUUUGCUCAUCAGAGAGGCCUCUAAAAGCUACUGAUCUGAUCUCUUUGUCCCCGGUGGAACUGUCCCGUCCUGGAAGCAAAGGUGGAAGGAUUUUGGAGAGACUUUCUUUUAGAUAUUGAAGAUGGUGUGUUUGAGAUAACACUCGAACAACUGCUGGUGUUCACUUCUGGAGCUGACAGAAUACCAGCACUUGGUUUUUCUCCACAGCCAACACUGACUUUCAACCAUGAGACUGGGCAGAAAUACCCUGAGGCCCUAAAACUGAAACUAUGAUCCACAACACCUACGAGGAGUUCACCAACUUCAUGUGCUCCUACCUUGCGCACCUGUGGUUCGUUGCUCUGAUGGCUCGUGCUGAGCAUAUAAGCGGUGUGUGCAGGAGUGUGAGACACGCAGCGGUUAACUCCGUGCGCGUCAUGACCAUCGAAACAGCGAUCAACUCAAGACUGUGUUCUGUGUAUUGUGCCACUGUUCUGUUUUAGUUUGUUAGUGUUUGGUAUGUCUAGUGUAGAGAAAAUGUGAGUUUUCUGUGGGAAGAGUGAGAACAUGAGAGACGUGAGAUUGUGCAGUCAUUUAUUAGUAUAAAUAAAUGUCUUAAACUGC
Pimephales promelas (fathead minnow) is the source of this 1559-nucleotide long non-coding RNA. RefSeq lists it as uncharacterized. The record is from RefSeq and is a predicted model, not a curated record. Lineage: Eukaryota; Metazoa; Chordata; Actinopteri; Cypriniformes; Leuciscidae.